This is a non-coding RNA of Xyrichtys novacula (pearly razorfish), 2610 nucleotides long. The record is from the annotation of a GenBank genome assembly. NCBI's taxonomy places the organism in Eukaryota, Metazoa, Chordata, Actinopteri, Labriformes, Labridae.
GGUUUAAGGUUUUUGGCGUUAGGGUCAAAAUCACUGUCCAAAACCUUUGUAGGAACUCUUUUCCAACCUUUUGGAGUUAGUUAGACCAAAAAAAAAUGAAAAAUGAAAAAAAAAUAUUUGGGGUGUUCGGGCUUCCUGAAGGUAAUACCCGGGUAUUAGGUUAUGGGGCUAGGGUAAGGUUUAAGGUUUUUGGCGUUAGGGUUAAAAUCACUGUCCAAAACCUUUGUAGGAACUCUUUUCCAACCUUUUGGAGUUAGUUAGACCAAAAAAAAUGAAAAAUGAAAAAAAAAUAUUUGGGGUGUUCGGUCUUCCUGAAGGUAAUACCCGGGUAUUAGGUUAUGGGGCUAGGGUCAGGUUUAAGGUUUUUGGCGUUAGGGUUAAAAUCACUGUCCAAAACCUUUGUAGGAACUCUUUUCCAACCUUUUGGAGUUAGUUACACCAAAAAAAAAUGAAAAAUGAAAAAAAAAUAUUUGGGGUGUUCGGGCUUCCUGAAGGUAAUACCCGGGUAUUAGGUUAUGGGGCUAGGGAAAGGUUUAAUGUUUUUGGCGUUAGGGUUAAAAUCACUGUCCAAAACCUUUGUAGGAACUCUUUUCCAACCUUUUGGAGUUAGUUAGACCAAAAAAAAAACGAAAAAUGAAAAAAAAAAAUAUUUGGGGUGUUCGGGCUUCCUGAAGGUAAUACCCGGGUAUUAGGUUAUGGGGCUAGGGUAAGGUUUAAGGUUUUUGGCGUUAGGGUUAAAAUCACUGUCCAAAACCUUUGUAGGAACUCUUUUCCAACCUUUUGGAGUUAGUUAGACCAAAAAAAAAAGUAAAAUGAAAAAAAAAUAUUUGGGGUGUUCGGGCUUCCUGAAGGUAAUACCCGGGUAUUAGGUUAUGGGGCUAGGGUAAGGUUUAAGGUUUUUGGCGUUAGGGUUAAAAUCACUGUCCAAAACCUUUGUAGGAACUCUUUUCCAACCUUUUGGAGUUAGUUAGACCCAAAAGAAAUGAAAAAUGAAAAAAUAUAUAUUUGGGGUUUUCGGGCUUUCUGAAGGUAAUACCCGGGUAUUAGGUUAUGGGGCUAGGGUAAGGUUUAAGGUUUUUGGCGUUAGGGUUAAAAUCACUGUCCAAAACCUUAGUAGGAACUCUUUUCCAACCUUUUGGAGUUAGUUAGACCAAAAAAAAAAAAAUGAAAAUGAAAAAAAAUAUUUGGGGUGUUCGGGCUUCCUGAAGGUAAUACCCGGUAUUAGGUUAUGGGGCUAGGGUAAGGUUUAAGGUUUUUGGCGUUAGGGUUAAAAUCACUGUCCAAAACCUUUGUAGGAACUCUUUUCCAACCUUUUGGAGUUAGUUAGACCAAAAAAAAAAAAAAAAAAAAAAAAUAUUUGGGGUUUUCGGGCUUCCUGAAGGUAAUACCCGGGUAUUAGGUUAUGGGGCUAGGGUAAGGUUUAAGGUUUUUGGCGUUAGGGUUAAAAUCACUGUCCAAAACCUUUGUAGGAACUCUUUUCCAACCUUUUGGAGUUAGUUAGACCACAAAAAAAAAAAAAAAAAUAUUUGGGGUGUUCGGGCUUCCUGAAGGUAAUACCCGGGUAUUAGGUUAUGGGGCUAGGGUAAGGUUUAAGGUUUUUGGCGUUAGGGUUAAAAUCACUGUCCAAAACCUUUGUAGGAACUCUUUUCCAACCUUUUGGAGUUAGUUAGACCCAAAAAAAAAGAAAAUGAAAAAAAAAAAAUAUUUGGGGUGUUCGGGCUUCCUGAAGGUAAUACCUGGGUAUUAGGUUAUGGGGCUAGGGUAAGGUUUAAGGUUUUUGGCAUUAGGGUUAAAAUCACUGUCCAAAACCUUUGUAGGAACUCUUUUCCAACCUUUUGGAGUUAGUUAGACCAAAAAAAAAACAAAAAUGAAAAAAAAAAUAUUUGGGGUGUUCGGCUUCCUGAAGGUAAUACCCGGGUAUUAGGUUAUGGGGCUAGGGAAGGUUUAAGGUUUUUGGCGUUAGGGUUAAAAUCACUGUCCAAAACCUUUGUAGGAACUCUUUUUCAACCUUUGGAGUUAGUUAGACCAAAAAAAAAAAAAAUGAAAAAAAAAUAUUUGGGGUGUUCGGGCUUCCUGAAGGUAAUACCCGGGUAUUAGGUUAUGGGGCUAGGGUAAGGUUUAAGGUUUUUGGCAUUAGGGUUAAAAUCACUGUCCAAAACCUUUGUAGGAACUCUUUUCCAACCUUUUGGAGUUAGUUAGACCAAAAAAAAAAUGAAAAAUGAAAAAAAAAUAUUUGGGGUGUUCGGGCUUCCUGAAGGUAAUACCCGGGUAUUAGGUUAUGGGGCUAGGGUAAGGUUUAAGGUUUUUGGCGUUAGGGUUAAAAUCACUGUCCAAAACCUUUGUAGGAACCCUUUUCCAACCUUUUGGAGUCAGUUAGACCCAAAAGAAAUGAAAAAUGAAAAAAAAAAAUAUUUGCGGUGUUUGGCUUUCCUGAAGGUAAUACCCGGGUAUUAGGUUAUGGGGCUAGGGUAAGGUUUAAGGUCUUUGGAGUUAGGGUUAAAAUCACUGUCCAAAACCUUUGUAGGAACUCUUUCCCAACCUUUUGGAGUUAGUUAGACCCAAAAGAAAUCAAAAUGAAAAAAAAAUAUUUGGGGUGUUCGGCUUCCUGAA